RNAcentral lists this long non-coding RNA (253 nucleotides) under Populus tremula. RNAcentral's name for it is "long non-coding RNA (PTRE_LNC000301)". The record is from RNAcentral. Lineage: Eukaryota; Viridiplantae; Streptophyta; Magnoliopsida; Malpighiales; Salicaceae.
AAAGAUUGAAAUCUCUAAUCUUUACUUGCCCACAAAUCAAGAAGAAAAAAAAAGCGCACCGGCAAAUAAAUAUUGCCAAUCCCAUACACGAGUUUCUUCCCAAUUUCCAAAAGCUCUGACUUAUGCCAUGUGAGAGACAUGAAGAAAGGCAGCUGCACAACCUUAGAAUGUCUCAAACUUCGGACCCUCACUUUGUGUAAGAGUACGGACACCUAUGUUUUUAAUUUUAAGGAUUAUUUUUGCAGACCCUAUA